RNAcentral lists this ribosomal RNA (318 nucleotides) under uncultured eukaryote. RNAcentral describes it as "partial 18S ribosomal RNA". It matches the Rfam family "Eukaryotic small subunit ribosomal RNA", at positions 1470 to 1796 of the family's 1831-position model. The record is from RNAcentral.
CCCUUAGAUGUUCUGGCAGCACGCGCGCUACAAUGGUCUUCGCAAACGGAUGCAUUCUCGAAGGAGAAUGCCAAUCUUGGAAUCUAUGCCUUGGUCGGGACAGUUGCUUGCAAUUUUUCGACUCGAACCAGGAAUUCCUUGUAAUCGUGAUUCAUCACAUCACGAUGAAUACGUCCCUGCCCUUUGUACACACCGCCCGUCGCUCCUACCGAUCGAAGAGUUAGGUGAAUUGUUUUGAUCGAUAAGAUUUGACUAUGGUCAACUCUCGUUGUGAAAUUCUGUGAAUCUGACUGUUUAGAGGAAGGAAAAGUCGUAACA